CCUACGGGUGGCAGCAGUCGAGAAUCAUUCACAAUGGGGGAAACCCUGAUGGUGCGACGCCACGUGGGGGAAUGAAGGUCUUCGGAUUGUAAACCCCUGUCAUGUGGGAGCAAAUUAAAAAGAUAGUACCACAAGAGGAAGAGACGGCUAACUCUGUGCCAGCAGCCGCGGUAAUACAGAGGUCUCAAGCGUUGUUCGGAAUCACUGGGCGUAAAGCGUGCGUAGGCUGUUUCGUAAGUCGUGUGUGAAAGGCGCGGGCUCAACCCGCGGACGGCACAUGAUACUGCGAGACUAGAGUAAGGGAGGGGGAACCGGAAUUCUCGGUGUAGCAGUGAAAUGCGUAGAUAUCGAGAGGAACACUCGUGGCGAAGGCGGGUUCCUGGACAUUAACUGACGCUGAGGCACGAAGGCCAGGGGAGCGAAAGGGAUUAGAUACCCGUGUAGUC
Molecule: ribosomal RNA, 446 nt
Filed under: uncultured bacterium
Lineage: Bacteria
Description: partial 16S ribosomal RNA
Rfam family: Bacterial small subunit ribosomal RNA
Source: RNAcentral